UGAUAUUGGCCUGGUUCACUCAGAUCUUCGUGAACACCACGCACGUACAUUCUAUAGAUUAUCUGAUUGAGCCGCGCCAAUAUCU
This 85-nucleotide microRNA precursor is filed under the name Camelina sativa (false flax). Lineage: Eukaryota; Viridiplantae; Streptophyta; Magnoliopsida; Brassicales; Brassicaceae. The record is from RNAcentral.